This 377-nucleotide ribosomal RNA is filed under the name uncultured eukaryote. Its description in RNAcentral is "partial 18S ribosomal RNA". It matches the Rfam family "Eukaryotic small subunit ribosomal RNA", at positions 592 to 976 of the family's 1831-position model. The record is from RNAcentral.
CAAUAGCGUAUAUUUAAGUUGCUGCAGUUAAAAAGCUCGUAGUUGGAUUUCGGGUGGGAAUGGCCGGUCCGCCGUUUCGGUGUGCACUUGCUACGCCCACCUUGCUGCCGGGGACGUGCUCUUGAGUUCACGCUCGGGACACGGAGUCGGCGAGGUUACUUUGAGUAAAUUAGAGUGUUCAAAGCAGGCCUACGCUCUGAAUACAUUAGCAUGGAAUAACACGAUAGGACUCUGGCCUAACUUGUUGGUCUGUAGGACCGGAGUAAUGAUUAAGAGGGACAGUCGGGGGCAUUCGUAUUUCAUUGUCAGAGGUGAAAUUCUUGGAUUUAUGAAAGACGAACUACUGCGAAAGCAUUUGCCAAGGAUGUUUUCAUUAA